AGCUCCAAUAGCGUAUAUUAAAGUUGUUGCAGUUAAAAAGCUCGUAGUUGGAUUUCUGGGGGGGUGCCAAUGUCCGCCCACGUGCGUGUGCAGCGGCGCCCUCUCAUCCUUCUGUUAACGCCUCUUGGCAUUCAUUUGCUGGUGGCGGGCUCAGAUAUUUUACCUUGAGAAAAUUAGAGUGUUUCAGGCAGGCUAGGCCGGAAUACAUUAGCAUGGAAUAAUGGAAUAGGACUACGGUCUCUUUGUUGGUUUGAGGGACUGCAGUAAUGAUUAAUAGGGAUAGUUGGGGGCAUUAGUAUUUAAUUGUCAGAGGUGGAAUUCUCGGAUUUGUUAAAGACUAACUUAUGCGAAAGCAUUUGCCAAGGAUGUUUUCAUUA
RNAcentral lists this ribosomal RNA (377 nucleotides) under Parallelostrombidium sp. RNAcentral's name for it is "partial small subunit ribosomal RNA". It matches the Rfam family "Eukaryotic small subunit ribosomal RNA", at positions 587 to 975 of the family's 1831-position model. Lineage: Eukaryota; Ciliophora; Spirotrichea; Strombidiidae. The record is from RNAcentral.